RNAcentral lists this ribosomal RNA (452 nucleotides) under uncultured Comamonadaceae bacterium. RNAcentral describes it as "bacterial SSU rRNA". It matches the Rfam family "Bacterial small subunit ribosomal RNA", at positions 30 to 474 of the family's 1533-position model. The record is from RNAcentral. Lineage: Bacteria; Pseudomonadati; Pseudomonadota; Betaproteobacteria; Burkholderiales; Comamonadaceae.
AUUGAUCGCUGGCGGAAUGCUUUAGACAUGCAAGUCGAACGUGCAGCACGGGCAUAACCCUGGUGGCGAGUGGCGAACGGGUGAGUAAUACAUCGGAACGUGCCCAGUCGUGGGGGAUAACGUAGCGAAAGUUACGCUAAUGCCGCAUACGAUCUACGGAUGAAAGCGGGGGACCGUAAGGCCUCGCGCGAUUGGAGCGGCCGAUGUCAGAUUAGGUAGUUGGUGAGGUAAAGGCUCACCAAGCCGACGAUCUGUAGCUGGUCUGAGAGGACGACCAGCCACACUGGGACUGAGACACGGCCCAGACUCCUACGGGAGGCAGCAGUGGGGAAUUUUGGACAAUGGGCGCAAGCCUGAUCCAGCCAUUCCGCGUGCAGGACGAAGGCCUUCGGGUUGUAAACUGCUUUUGUACGGAACGAAAAGGCUCUGGUUAAUACCUGGGGCUCAUGACG